AUGGAAGCCCCCGCCGCAAAAAAAGAAGCGGCUCUUCCCACGGCUCUGUCACCAUUGACUCUAUUUAUUAUUAUGGUAAAUCAUUGUAUGAAGAUGUCAAUCUUAGAUCUUAUUUUAGUUCGAUACGUCCACCUACGAAACUCGCCCUUAGCUUUCGUCUCGGUAGGUGUAUUAUUCUACAUUUUCCCAAAAGUACAUUCAUUAAUUUCUUUCUUCCCGGGCGAUCACCACGACUAA
RNAcentral lists this ribosomal RNA (237 nucleotides) under Triticum aestivum (bread wheat). RNAcentral's name for it is "partial small subunit ribosomal RNA". The record is from RNAcentral. Lineage: Eukaryota; Viridiplantae; Streptophyta; Magnoliopsida; Poales; Poaceae.